RNAcentral lists this non-coding RNA (28 nucleotides) under Rhizopus microsporus var. chinensis. RNAcentral also lists the same sequence under 27 other names. Lineage: Eukaryota; Fungi; Mucoromycota; Mucoromycetes; Mucorales; Rhizopodaceae. The record is from RNAcentral.
UUUCCGUAGGUGAACCUGCGGAAGGAUC